Molecule: long non-coding RNA, 618 nt
Filed under: Salvia miltiorrhiza (redroot sage)
Lineage: Eukaryota; Viridiplantae; Streptophyta; Magnoliopsida; Lamiales; Lamiaceae
Description: long non-coding RNA (SMIL_LNC013036)
Source: RNAcentral
AGAGAGAGGACGUCUCUGGGGUUGACGCGUCGGAAGCCGAAGCCGAUCAGAUCUUGGCCGAGAGAGAGAACGACCGGCGCUGACUGAAUUCAUGGUUGAAACGAAGGGAGAGAUGAGUACGGCCAACGCCGACUGAAUCACCGGAUUCCUGGCGAAGGAGCAGCGGCGACGGCGAUUUCGAUUUCAGGGAGAAUUAGGGCUCGAUUUUGAACUCUACGUGUAGAUUGAGGAAGAGAGAAGACGGCGCCAGGCUUAGACGCGUCGGCAGAAGACGCCGGCCGGAGCAGGCGGUGGCCGAACGAAAUCUCGGUGAGAGGAUAAGAGGCCGAUCGGCCGGCCUUGAGGAAGAGAGGGAGCGUCGGUUCUUUGAGGAAGAAGAGAGAGCCGAUUUUGAGAAGGGGGCGAGCAGCUCCUUGAGAUUAGAGUGAGAGACCGAGAAUUGGGUGUAGAAGGAAGAGAAUUGGUCUUUUUCUUGGGCCAUUCUUUUAUUUUGGAAUGGGCUCCUCUUUUGUUUGAUAUUGGGCUUCCUAUUUUAAUUGUUGGGCUCUUCUUUUAUUUAUUUUGGACUUCACAAUUUUAAUGGCUUGGGCUUCACAUCUAAAUUCGAAUUGGGCCUUU